This 428-nucleotide ribosomal RNA is filed under the name uncultured bacterium. RNAcentral describes it as "bacterial SSU rRNA". It matches the Rfam family "Bacterial small subunit ribosomal RNA", at positions 355 to 775 of the family's 1533-position model. The record is from RNAcentral.
UGGGGAAUUUUGCGCAAUGGGCGGAAGCCUGACGCAGCAACGCCGCGUGGAGGAUGAAGGUCUUUGGAUUGUAAACUCCUGUCAGCAGGGAAAAAGGGACUGGACCUCAUACGUCUGGAACUUGAUUGUACCUGCAGAGGAAGCCCCGGCUAACUCUGUGCCAGCAGCCGCGGUAAUACAGAGGGGGCGAGCGUUAUUCGGAAUUAUUGGGCGUAAAGGGCGCGUAGGCGGCUUUGCAAGUGACGGGUGAAAGCCCUCGGCUUAACCGAGGAACUGCCUGUCAGACUGUGAGGCUUGAGACCGGGAGAGGUGAGUGGAAUUCCCAGUGUAGCGGUGAAAUGCGUAGAUAUUGGGAGGAACACCAGUGGCGAAGGCGGCUCACUGGACCGGAACUGACGCUGAGGCGCGAAAGCGUGGGGAGCAAACAG